AUUGAACGCUGGCGGCAUGCCUUACACAUGCAAGUCGAACGGUAACAGGUUAAGCUGACGAGUGGCGAACGGGUGAGUAACACAUCGGAACGUGCCCAAUCGUGGGGGAUAACGUAGCGAAAGCUACGCUAAUACCGCAUACGAUCUACGGAUGAAAGCGGGGGAUCGCAAGACCUCGCGCGAAUGGAGCGGCCGAUGGCAGAUUAGGUAGUUGGUGGGGUAAAGGCUCACCAAGCCGACGAUCUGUAGCUGGUCUGAGAGGACGACCAGCCACACUGGGACUGAGACACGGCCCAGACUCCUACGGGAGGCAGCAGUGGGGAAUUUUGGACAAUGGGCGCAAGCCUGAUCCAGCCAUGCCGCGUGU
RNAcentral lists this ribosomal RNA (367 nucleotides) under uncultured bacterium. Its description in RNAcentral is "bacterial SSU rRNA". It matches the Rfam family "Bacterial small subunit ribosomal RNA", at positions 30 to 404 of the family's 1533-position model. The record is from RNAcentral.